Long non-coding RNA from Piliocolobus tephrosceles (Ugandan red Colobus), 3225 nucleotides. NCBI's taxonomy places the organism in Eukaryota, Metazoa, Chordata, Mammalia, Primates, Cercopithecidae. The record is from Ensembl.
AUGCAAAAUAACGAUAAUACUGAAAACAUUAACUCAAAGAAAGGCUGGGUAAAUGAUCUUAAAGGGACCUAUGCUAGUUUUGUAAAUUCUGGUGCAAAAGGAUUUUCAUAUUUUAACACGUCAUCUGUGAAUGAAAAAAAAGCUGAACAAAAUGAUGAGAAUAUUGGUGCAGAUAGUAAUACCGAAAUAAAUAUUUUAAAAAGAAUCAGCGAAGAAUGUAACACAAUGGUUGAUAAUAUGGAUAUAAUAGAAAAAAAAAAAGUAUUAUUUGAUUCUUAUAAAAAAUACUAUUUUAUAGAAAUGACGAAAUACCAUAAAAGUAGAGAGAAUUGUACUAAUAAUUUCAUAAAUUUUCUUGAAAGACUAAUUAAGCAAAUGUUAAAAGAGUUAAAAAAUGGAAAUGAUAAUAUAAAUCAUUUGACAAAACUUUUUAAAGAAAUUACAAAAAAUGAUACAACUUAUUAUAAAACCUCAUUAUCAGGAACUGGAAAAAUAAAUAAUCUAACUCAUAACUUCGUACAUUUAAACAAUGAUGAACAAACAAGUAGUCAACUAUGUACAAAUAAUACGAAUACAAAUGAAAAUAAUGUUAUUAAAUGUAAGAGUGAAAUUAUAGACUCGAGAAAUAACAAAAAAACAAUGGUUCCCACUAAAUCGGUAAUGUUUGGAAGAUUUUCAGUUAAUAAUGAGAUUACUCAGGAAGAGGGGAUGAUGGGCUAUAAAGAAUCAAUAGAUGACGAAUAUGAUCAAAGGCGAGAACAAGAUUACAUGUCCGAAGUAAAUGAUGAUUCUACAUCUUGUAACAACCUACUACAUGAAACAAGCGUAAGAAACAGUGCUGAUGUUAUGAAUAGUAACAAUACCAACGAAAUGAGUAUUAGGGAAUAUAUAAAUAAUACUACAUUUUUAAAAAACAAUAGCAUGAAUAAGAAUGUUAGUAAAAUACAUAACAUUGCAGAUAACGUUUUGGACAUAAAUUCGAACAUGUGUAUUUUAAAUCAUAAUAUAAUACAAGAUUGGAUAGAAUAUGGCUAUAUAAAUUAUAAAAAAUUGAUGUAUACUAUGAAAGAAAAUAGCAAUUUUGUUGAUACUAAAAUAUAUCAAGGAAUGUUAAAUAUAUUAAAAGAAAGCUAUUUAAAAGAGCAAGAAAAUUUAAUAGAAAAAAUAAAAAAAAAGAAAUGUGAUUUAUUUAAGCAAUUCGAUCUUAGUAAAUUAUAUUGGAAACAUUUUGAAAAUAGUUAUUCAAACUCAGAACGAAUUAGAUCAAAUGGAAUAAAAGAUUCAAAAAAAAUAAAAUGUUCCUGGUUGUGCCAAAGAAAAUAUUUAAAAAAUGUUAAAGAUUUAUUAAAAAUACAAAAUGAAUAUUUAGACACUAUCUACACUUGUGUUAAAUUUUUUUUUCAAUUAAUAGAAUGGAAAAAAAAUACCAUUAAAGAUAUAUUAUCAUCUUAUAUACAUUUAUAUAAAGGGUUUUUAAAUUUGUAUUUGAAUAAUAUAAAUAUAUUAUAUGAUUUUAUAUUACAAGAAAAAAAUAUAAAUCCAUCACAUUUUGAUAAUUUACAUAAUAUAUCUAUGAUUAAUGUGGAUGACAUAAUAAAAACGGUUACUCCCUUUUCUUUUAAUGAGUAUAAUACAAACAUACCUAACUUAAACAACUCAUUAAACAUUAUUAACAAUUUUGUUAUAUUUUAUAAUAACGAAAUUAAUAUAAAAUCAAUCUUAUGCUUAUUUUGUGCCCACAUUAAAGGAUACUUUACGAGUGUAGGUUUUUUUAAUAAAUACAUGGAAGGGAUAUUUGUUAUAACAUGGGAUAAGUUUGUUCAUUUUUUUGCGGAUGCUGAGGAUGUAACGCCACAGUGGUCUUACUAUAUGGAAGAUAUAGAAUUUAAAAUUUUAAAAAAUAAAAAUGAUAAUACUAAAAAAAGUGGAAAACAAAAUGAACUCCACAAUAAUUAUCCAGAAAGUGAACCAAAUGGGGCACAAAAUGGUAACUCUUACGUUAGCCCAAAUAGUACACAACAGGAAAAUGAGGAUAAAACAGUAUCAUCUACUAUUCUCAAUGAUAAAAAAGCAAACAUAAACAAAGAGGCUGUUAAAAAUGAUGCUACUAGUGAGGAACGAAUUGAUGAUCAUCAGUCUGACAUUAACAAACAGAAUAAUAUGAACAAUGAUUAUAAGAAAGACAACGAUAACAUAAAUAAAUCUCAAAAUAAAAAAGAAGAGUUAUUAGAAUGUACAGAUAAACAACAACAAAAAGACGAAAAUAACACAAACAGUAAAAAAGAAAAUAAUCCUGAUUCUACUCAAUUUUGUCAGUUGAAUAAACAAAAUAAUGAUACGAUAGAAAUACAAAUGAAAGAAAAGAAAAAAACAUUAUUAAUUAGUGGUUGGUCAUUUACGUUCAAAUGUGAUAAUACAUUUUUAACUAAUUUAUGCUAUGAGUUAUUAAAUUAUCAUUUAUAUUCAUCUUAUUUUGUUGACGAAAAUUCGUUUGUUAAUUUUAGUAACAUUAUAUCUAAUGGUCAGGUGAAAAAUGACUUAGAGUGUACUGAACAAAUAGUUAACACGUACGACAAAACAUCAGGCCCAAACGUAUACACAAAUUUGAACCCUAGUCUGAACCCUAAUUUGAACCCUAAUUUGAACCCUAGUCUGAAUCCUAAUUUGAACNNNNNNNNNNUGAACCCUAAUUUGAACCCUAAUUUGAACCCUAAUUUGAACCCUAAUGCUGAUUCAGUCUAUCUGAAAAAAAAUAUAAUUAAUUUCGAAAAUAACUUAGAACAAAAUACUAAUAAAAAGUAUGAAAAUUCAUGUACCUCUACAUACGAACAAAAUGUGCAUUAUGAUAAUACCUCAAACGAAAAAACAGUAGAUGUGGGUUAUGAAGAUUUAUUAAAUAAUUUUAAUCAAAAAAAAAAUAUAUUAAUAAAAAAUAUGAAGGAAAGACAAAUGCAUUCAAAAUCAAGUGAGUGUAGUUUGAGCGAAGAAAAUGUGGUUGCAAUUUUGAAAGAGCAAAAAAAAAGUUUAGGAGAAAGUGAAAAUGAAAAUAGCAUUAAAGAAGACAUCAUAGAAGAAAGUGAAGAACAAAGUGAAGAACAAAGUGAAGAAGAAAGUGAAGAACAAAGUGAAGACCAAAGUGAAGAAGAAAGUGAAGAAGAAAGUGAAGAAGAAAGUGAUGAAAAAAGUGAAGAAUAUAGCGAAAAACAUACAGAUGGUAGUAUAUAA